AACGAACGCUGGCGGCGUGCCUAACACAUGCAAGUCGAACGGAGUUAUAAGGAAGUAGCAAUACGGAAUUAUGACUUAGUGGCGGACGGGUGAGUAACACGUAGGUAACCAACCCUCGAGCGGGGGACAACCCAGGGAAACUUGGGCUAAUACCGCAUAAGACCACGGCCUGGAAUGGCUGAGGUAAAAGCAGCAAUGCACUUGAGGAUGGGCCUGCGGCCUAUCAGGUAGUUGGCGGGGUAAAGGCCCACCAAGCCUAAGACGGGUAGCCGGACUGAGAGGUUGAACGGCCACACUGGAACUGAGACACGGUCCAGACUCCUACGGGAGGCAGCAGUGGGGAAUUUUGCGCAAUGGGCGAAAGCCUGACGCAGCGACGCCGCGUGGAGGAUGAAGGUCUUCGGAUUGUAAACUCCUUUUAUAGGGGAAAAUAAUGAUGGUACCCUAUGAAUAAGCCACGGCUAACUCUGUG
This 472-nucleotide ribosomal RNA is filed under the name uncultured bacterium. RNAcentral describes it as "bacterial SSU rRNA". It matches the Rfam family "Bacterial small subunit ribosomal RNA", at positions 29 to 507 of the family's 1533-position model. The record is from RNAcentral.